ACAGUUUGUGAACCACCAUGUGGUUGCUGGGAAUUGAACUCAGGACCUCUGAAAGAGCAGUCAGUGCUCUUAACCGCUGAGCCAUCUCUCCAGCCCGUUUUACUUAUUUUUGAGACAGAAUCUUACUUUGUAGCCAUGUCUGUCCAGAAUCUCCUAAGGUGGACCAGGCUGGUCUUCAACUCCCAGAAAUCUGCCUGCUUCUGCCUUCAGGGUGAUGUUUUUGUUUGUUUGCUUUUCUGUCUCUUCUUUUUUUUUUUUUCUUUUCUUUUUCUUUUUUCUUUUUUCUUUUUUUUUUUUUUUGAGGCAGGGUUUCUCUGUAGCCCAUGCUGCCCUGGGGAGAUCCUCCUGCCUCUGCCUCCCAAGUGCUGGGAUUAAAGGCGUGCUCCUCCACCUGGCCCCCAGAGUGAUUGAAUUAAUAUACUACCAUGUCUGUUUUGUAAAGGUGGGGAUAGUGAUGAUGAUAAGGAAGAAGGGGAGAGGAAGGAGGAAAUUUUGCAAAUAUUUUGUCCCUAGGAAGGCAUUCUUUGCAUCUAGGGGUUUUUCUUGCUCUGACUUCCCAGAUCUGACUUUAGCUGUGCCCAUCUGUAACUCUCUGGCCAUUGUCUUCACACUGAUUGUGGGGAAGGUCUUUGGAGAAGAUAUUGGUGGAAAACCAGUGGCUGGCAUGGUGCUCACCGUCACGGGGAUCACACUGUGCAUCACGAGCUCGGUGACCAAGACCCAGGGCCAACCGUCCUCCUCUUGAGCAGGCCAAGCCCGGCCUGCACUUCUGCUGUGCUCAGCAGGUACUGCAGGGGUACACCAGCCGGCCUCUCUGAGCUUAGCUUCCUCAUCUCUGGGAUCACAUCUACCUCAGAGUCACAAUAAGAAUCGCAUGGUCCAGAGUUCCAGGACAGCCAAGGCUACACAGAGAAACCCUGUUUCAAAAAACCAAAAAAAAAAAAAAAAGAAGAAGAAGAAGAAGAAAGCAAAGAAAAGAACAAAGAAGAAGGACAGCCCUGGGAAGGUUUUGUAACCUUUGGUGGGUUCGGCUGUUGUGGAUUUAGCACUGGACCCAGGAGUGGUGGCGCACGCCUGUAAUCCCAGCACUCGGAAGGCAGAGGCAGGCGGAUCACUGGGUUCCAGGCCAGCCUGGGCUACAGAGCGAGUUCUGGGACAGCCAGGGCUACACAGUGAAACCUUGCAUUAGAGGGAGGAGACUGACUUAGCGCUGGAGACUGUACACCUGCCCGGCAGCCUCUGCCUGCUGUCAGCUCAGGCACUGUUCCCCUGGCCUGCUCUAAUAUCAGAGUCCGCCGAGCCUCCACUACAUGGAAAGGGCUGGCUGCAGUCUCUGAAACAGGACUGUGUCUGGAGACUUCCGCAGCCCUACUACGGUCUCUUGGCUGACUUGGGGUGGAAUUCAGGGAGAGUGGUUACAGCAGAAUGCAGAUGGGAGAAAAAUGAGCCGGCCCUGGGCAGAAAUGCUCACCUGCCAAUCCCUCAAGUGAGCAGACAGCUGUGUGCCAAGCAGCGCCAAGCUGCAGCAAACACCUGGCCAGUAGCAGCUUUCAAUAAAUCUGCAGCAAACAAA
Non-coding RNA from Peromyscus maniculatus bairdii (prairie deer mouse), 1573 nucleotides. Lineage: Eukaryota; Metazoa; Chordata; Mammalia; Rodentia; Cricetidae. The record is from RefSeq and is a predicted model, not a curated record.